ACUUAUAUAGUAUAAAAAAUUAUAUUUAACUUCCAAUUAAAAGAUUUAAUUUAAAUUAAUAUAAGUA
Molecule: transfer RNA, 67 nt
Filed under: Scarabaeidae sp. BMNH 1274752
Lineage: Eukaryota; Metazoa; Arthropoda; Insecta; Coleoptera; Scarabaeidae
Description: tRNA-Gly
Source: RNAcentral